Molecule: ribosomal RNA, 593 nt
Filed under: fungal sp. 51667
Lineage: Eukaryota; Fungi
Description: eukaryotic LSU rRNA
Rfam family: 5.8S ribosomal RNA (bases 231-383)
Source: RNAcentral
GGAAGUAAAAGUCGUAACAAGGUUUCCGUAGGUGAACCUGCGGAAGGAUCAUUACCGAGUGAGGGCCCUCUGGGUCCAACCUCCCACCCGUGUUUAUUUUACCUUGUUGCUUCGGCGGGCCCGCCUUUACUGGCCGCCGGGGGGCUCACGCCCCCGGGCCCGCGCCCGCCGAAGACACCCUCGAACUCUGUCUGAAGAUUGAAGUCUGAGUGAAAAUAUAAAUUAUUUAAAACUUUCAACAACGGAUCUCUUGGUUCCGGCAUCGAUGAAGAACGCAGCGAAAUGCGAUACGUAAUGUGAAUUGCAAAUUCAGUGAAUCAUCGAGUCUUUGAACGCACAUUGCGCCCCCUGGUAUUCCGGGGGGCAUGCCUGUCCGAGCGUCAUUGCUGCCCUCAAGCCCGGCUUGUGUGUUGGGCCCCGUCCUCCGAUUCCGGGGGACGGGCCCGAAAGGCAGCGGCGGCACCGCGUCCGGUCCUCGAGCGUAUGGGGCUUUGUCACCCGCUCUGUAGGCCCGGCCGGCGCUUGCCGAUCAACCCAAAUUUUUAUCCAGGUUGACCUCGGAUCAGGUAGGGAUACCCGCUGAACUUAAGCAU